RNAcentral lists this ribosomal RNA (253 nucleotides) under uncultured bacterium. RNAcentral's name for it is "partial 16S ribosomal RNA". It matches the Rfam family "Bacterial small subunit ribosomal RNA", at positions 524 to 776 of the family's 1533-position model. The record is from RNAcentral.
UACGAACUGUGCGAACGUUAUUCGGAAUCACUGGGCUUACAGGGUGCGUAGGCGGCCUUCCAAGUCAGGUGUGAAAUCCCCCGGCCCAACCGGGGAACAGCGCUUGAAACUGGUUGGCUUGAGUCAGCUAGAGGGACACGGAACUUCCGGUGGAGCGGUGAAAUGUGUUGAUAUCGGAAGGAACACCAGAGGCGAAAGCGGUGUCCUGGAGCUGGUCUGACGCUGAGGCACGAAAGCCAGGGGAGCGAACGGG